This 253-nucleotide ribosomal RNA is filed under the name uncultured bacterium. RNAcentral's name for it is "partial 16S ribosomal RNA". It matches the Rfam family "Bacterial small subunit ribosomal RNA", at positions 524 to 776 of the family's 1533-position model. The record is from RNAcentral.
GACGAACCGUGCGAACGUUGUUCGGAAUCACUGGGCUUAAAGGGCGCGUAGGCGGGUUACCAAGUCAGGGGUGAAAUCUUUCGGCUUAACCGGAAAACGGCCUCUGAUACUGGUAGUCUUGAGGGAGGUAGGGGCAGGUGGAACUUCCGGUGGAGCGGUGAAAUGUGUUGAUAUCGGAAGGAACGCCGGUGGCGAAAGCGACCUGCUGGAUCUCUUCUGACGCUGAGGCGCGAAAGCUAGGGGAGCGAACGGG